Non-coding RNA from Aedes albopictus (Asian tiger mosquito), 69 nucleotides. The record is from Rfam. NCBI's taxonomy places the organism in Eukaryota, Metazoa, Arthropoda, Insecta, Diptera, Culicidae.
GGGCCCGUGGCGUAGUGGUCCACACGUUCGCUUUAUAAGCGGAUGGUCAUGGGUUCGAUCCCAUCCCCG